GGCAACCCGCUCGCGUCCCCUUCCAGACUGUGGAAGCUUUGUUUUUUCGCUUUUUGCAGUAAAUCUUGCUACUGCUCGCUCUUUGGGUCCAGGCUGCUCUUAUGAGCUGUAACACUCACGGCGAAGAUCUGCAGCUUCACACCUGAGCCCAGCGAGACUACGAGCCCACCCGGAGGAACGAGGAGCUCCAGACGCGCUGCCUUAAGAGCUGUAACACUCACCGCGAAGGUCUGCAGCUUCACUCCUGAGCCAGCGAGACCACGAACCCACCAGAAGGAAGAAACUCCGAACACAUUUGAACAUCAGAAGGGAUAAACUCCAGACGUGCCACCUUAGGAGCUGUAAACCUCACCGUGAGGGUGCGCGGCCUCAUUCUUGAAAUUGAGUUGACUUCAAGAAUCGGUCUUCGAGCUUCUUUCCUCAGCUUGGUUGAUUCUGCUGUUAAUACUUGAACCCAGCCAGCAUGCUUGUGAGAAGCAUGCCUGAGUCCUAGAGAGUCAAUAGUCUCUGAUGAAUGCCACCCAACAGUCAAUAUCAACUGAAAGCCAUCUGCGUGAGCCAUCUCAGUCCAGUCAAGCUAUCAACAUGACUGCAGCAGCACUGGAGACUGCAAGAAAGAAUUGCCCAGCUUAGGCCAGUCAACACACAGGAUUACAAAAGGUAAUUAUAAAUUAUUGUUUCAAGUCACUGAGUUUUUGGAUAACAACAAAUAAAAUGAGCAAUGUAAGUUGGAUAACCUUUAUCCAAAACACUUGGGACCAGAAUUGUUUCAGAUUUCGGAUUUGUUUUUUUGGAUUUUAGAAUAUUUGCACAGACAUAAUAAGAUAUCUUGGGGAUGAAACCAAAGUCUAAAAACAAAAUUUGCUUAUGUUUCAUAUAUACUUUACACACAUAAGCUGAGAUAAUUUUAUACAAUACUUUGAAUAAUUUUGUACAUGAAGCAAAGUUUGUACUAAGUACUUAUGUAUGGAAUUUUCUACUUUUAACUUCAUGUUGGUACUCAAAAAGUUUCAGAUUUUGGAGCAUUUCGGAUUUCAGAUUAUUGUAUUAUGCAUGCUCAAUAUGUACAUGCAAUAUGCCUUAAAACACGCAGAAGUAUACCUACAACUUAAAAUAAUAAGGAAUUCAAAAUGUCAAAUCUGUACAUCUGGAGACAUUUAAUAAACAUAUGUCAACAUUUUAAAA
Non-coding RNA from Homo sapiens (human), 1185 nucleotides. Lineage: Eukaryota; Metazoa; Chordata; Mammalia; Primates; Hominidae. The record is from RefSeq and is a predicted model, not a curated record.